AGGCAUUUUAUAAGCACAAAGUGGAAAAGCAUCAUUCAUAUUCAUUUGCUGCUGCGGCAUUUCUCCCUGGAAUCUUCCUCUUGUCUGUCAACAUUGGGCAAAAGGACUGGCCUCAUCUACAUUACAGAUAUCCUUGUGAUGGUCUGGAGGGACCUGUGGGAGAGGCGGCCAUCCAGAGGGCUCUCUGAGGGGUCAUUUAGAAUGCAACUCUUCUGGGCAGAGGAUGGUCUGCACUGGCCUCCACCACGCAGGAAGGCUUCCAGAGUGGAGAAAUGUCCACUAACAUGGCUUCUGUGAGGUCAUGUGCUGGGUGCUGGGAACACAAAGGAGAGAUGAGAGGAAGUUAGAGGGGCUAGAAGAACCAGGAGACCUGUUGAAAAUCAUGAAUACAAAGAGAGGUCGUUUGCUUCUGUGCUUCAAUUCUAUAAUAAAAUGAGUACAAUGUCA
RNAcentral lists this long non-coding RNA (447 nucleotides) under Homo sapiens (human). RNAcentral describes it as "HSALNT0360556". Lineage: Eukaryota; Metazoa; Chordata; Mammalia; Primates; Hominidae. The record is from RNAcentral.